This 24-nucleotide non-coding RNA is filed under the name Arabidopsis thaliana (thale cress). The record is from RNAcentral. Lineage: Eukaryota; Viridiplantae; Streptophyta; Magnoliopsida; Brassicales; Brassicaceae.
GAAUUGAAAGAGGAAGACAACGAC